RNAcentral lists this ribosomal RNA (526 nucleotides) under uncultured Diversispora. Its description in RNAcentral is "SSU rRNA". It matches the Rfam family "Eukaryotic small subunit ribosomal RNA", at positions 569 to 1093 of the family's 1831-position model. Lineage: Eukaryota; Fungi; Glomeromycota; Glomeromycetes; Diversisporales; Diversisporaceae. The record is from RNAcentral.
AGCAGCCGCGGUAAUUCCAGCUCCAAUAGCGUAUAUUAAAGUUGUUGCAGUUAAAAAGCUCGUAGUUGAACUUCGGGGUUUACCCAUUGGUCAGGCUUAAUUGUCUGUACUGGUGAGAUAAAUCUCUACCUUCUGAGGAACUUUCAUGUCAUUAAUUUGGUGUGAUUGGAAAUCAGGACUGUUACUUUGAAAAAAUUAGAGUGUUUAAAGCAGGCUAACGUCCGAAUACAUUAGCAUGGAAUAAUGAAAUAGGACGGAUUGAUUCUAUUUCGUUGGUUUCUAGGAUCACCGUAAUGAUUAAUAGGGAUAGUUGGGGGCAUUAGUAUUCAAUUGUCAGAGGUGAAAUUCUUGGAUUUAUUGAAGACUAACUACUGCGAAAGCAUUUGCCAAGGAUGUUUUCAUUAAUCAAGAACGAAAGUUAGGGGAUCGAAGACGAUCAGAUACCGUCGUAGUCUUAACCAUAAACUAUAGCCGACUAGGGAUCGGACGAAGUUAAUUUUAUAAUGACGCGUUCGGCACCUUACGG